ACUGAGACAGACUUUGUAGUCUUUGGUUCGUGCUUUUUGUCUCCACCAUAAAAUGAGAAACACUUCAUACCGCUUCCCCCACAAAUUCACAUUCACCAAUUUCUUCACUGUUGACCCAGAGAUAAAAAGAACCUUAAAUCUUGGCAGUCAGAUUUGCAGCAGCUUAAUUCCUGAACUUCACAAAAUCCACAAGUCCAAGAAGUUGGAUUUGCAGCAAGUUUUCCAAAACUUCACAAAAUUAAUACAACUCAGGAAUUUCUAAGACAAAACUUCCCUUUGGCCCAUACGCCACAAAAGACCU
This 301-nucleotide unclassified non-coding RNA is filed under the name Hevea brasiliensis (rubber tree). Lineage: Eukaryota; Viridiplantae; Streptophyta; Magnoliopsida; Malpighiales; Euphorbiaceae. The record is from RNAcentral.